UACAGAGGUCCCAAGCGUUGUUCGGAUUCACUGGGCGUAAAGGGUGCGUAGGUGGUAGGGUAAGUCGGAUGUGAAAGCUCGGAGCUCAACUCCGAAAUGGCAUUGGAAACUACCCAACUAGAGGGUCGGAGGGGGGACUGGAAUUCCCGGUGUAGAGGUGAAAUUCGUAGAUAUCGGGAGGAACACCGGUGGCGAAGGCGGCGACCUGGGUAGAUACUGACGCUGAGGCGCGAAAGCGUGGGGAGCAAACAGG
Molecule: ribosomal RNA, 253 nt
Filed under: uncultured bacterium
Lineage: Bacteria
Description: partial 16S ribosomal RNA
Rfam family: Bacterial small subunit ribosomal RNA
Source: RNAcentral